UUUUAAUAUCCUGCAUUUGAAAAAGAGACACUGAAAGGACAGUAAAAUAACACAGGGAAAAUGGAUAAGCGUGGACUUGGACUGCUUUUGAUCGUCUUGCUUUUAGUCUGUCAUAUUAAUGACACGGAGGCACAAGGUCAAUCGUGGGAACCAAACAGAGGCAAAAGAGAACUGCGCCAAGAGAAGGACCUUGAAAGAGAAGGCUUCAAGCUACUGGAGAAAUUGAAGGCCAUUUCAGGAGAGAAUAACUUUGGGGUAGCAGAAAGAAAGGAAAGGAAAAUCAUGAGGGGCACCUGGUAGAAAUUUGUGAAAAAGAACCUCUCUGCAGCUGUUAUUUGAUUUUAUUUUUAAAAUUAUGGAAUUUUUUUGUCUGUAAAGAAUCAACUCAGUUAUACAAUGUAUUUUCCCAAUGAUACGUAAAGCAUUUUAAAUCACCAAAAUACGUCAAUAUUUUUUCUUGAAAGUUUUCAAACAUACAGUCAUGUUCACAAUAGAUGACAACAGAAUUAUUGUAAAAUCACAUUUUCAUGGAGACAAUAUUAUUUUUGUGAGUGAUGAAAACAUUUUAGAUCAUGGAGUUAUGAUUUCAUGUCUGAUCACUCUCGUUGAUUUGUUUUAUAUCUGAAUUGAAUGUUUCAAUGAGAUAAUUAUUUCGCUGAAUCUCUUCCUAUCUUGAAAACAAAGAAUAUGAAGAAUUCCACGAAAAUCAAAGACUUUACAGUACUAGUGUUCCUGAAACAUUGAUGGCACAAGCGCUUGUAAUAUGUGUGUCAAAAGUAAAAUUCUUUAAUAUAUCCACGACUUAUAAUAGGCACAGAUUUAUAUAUUUUGUUAUAAUUAAGGAAAAAAAAUUGCAAAGUAAAAUGCUUUUCAAACGUAACGUAUCUUCAAGUUUUCCUGAUCAACUGUUACAAAACGAAAUGUACAGUACAUAUUAUGAUUAAAGCUAUCAACGGAUAUACAAUUCUUGAACUGAAUAAAUUUGUUGCACAGUC
Long non-coding RNA from Saccostrea cuccullata (small rock oyster), 995 nucleotides. RefSeq lists it as uncharacterized. The record is from RefSeq and is a predicted model, not a curated record. The transcript has 2 exons. NCBI's taxonomy places the organism in Eukaryota, Metazoa, Mollusca, Bivalvia, Ostreida, Ostreidae.